Molecule: ribosomal RNA, 435 nt
Filed under: uncultured bacterium
Lineage: Bacteria
Description: partial 16S ribosomal RNA
Rfam family: Bacterial small subunit ribosomal RNA
Source: RNAcentral
AGCGAACGCUGGCGGCAGGCUUAACACAUGCAAGUCGAGCGGGCACUUUCGGGUGUCAGCGGCGGACGGGUGAGUAACGCGUGGGAGCGUGCCCUCUGGUUCGGAAUAACUCAGGGAAACUUGAGCUAAUACCGGAUACGCCCUUUUGGGGAAAGGCUUGCUGCCGGAGGAUCGGCCCGCGUCUGAUUAGCUAGUUGGUGAGGUAACGGCUCACCAAGGCGACGAUCAGUAGCUGGUCUGAGAGGAUGAUCAGCCACACUGGGACUGAGACACGGCCCAGACUCCUACGGGAGGCAGCAGUGGGGAAUAUUGGACAAUGGGCGCAAGCCUGAUCCAGCCAUGCCGCGUGAGUGAUCAAGGCCUUAGGGUUGUAAAGCUCUUUUAUCCGGGACGAUAAUGACGGUACCGGAGGAAUAAGCCCCGGCUAACUUCGUG